RNAcentral lists this ribosomal RNA (686 nucleotides) under uncultured bacterium. RNAcentral describes it as "bacterial SSU rRNA". It matches the Rfam family "Bacterial small subunit ribosomal RNA", at positions 56 to 771 of the family's 1533-position model. The record is from RNAcentral.
UGCAAGUCGAACGAAGAUGGCAGCCUCUGGUUGGCAUCUUAGUGGCGGACGGGUGAGUAACGCGUAAGAACUUGCCCCUGGGAGAGGGAUACCAACUGGAAACGGUUGUUAAUACCUCAUAGGCUGAGGAGUAAAAUGGUUAACACCGCCUAGGGAUAGGCUUGCGUCUGAUUAGCUAGUUGGUGGGGCAAAGGCCUACCAAGGCAAUGAUCAGUAGCUGGUCUGAGAGGACAAUCAGCCACACUGGGACUGAGACACGGCCCAGACUCCUACGGGAGGCAGCAGUGAGGAAUUUUCCGCAAUGGGCGAAAGCCUGACGGAGCAAUGCCGCGUGGAGGAUGAAGGCCCGUGGGUUGUAAACUCCUUUUCUUAGAGAAGAAGCCCUGACGGUAUCUAAGGAAUAAGCAUCGGCUAACUCCGUGCCAGCAGCCGCGGUAAUACGGGGGAUGCAAGCGUUAUCCGGAAUCAUUGGGCGUAAAGGGUCCUGAGGUGGUUUGCUAAGUCUACUGUGAAAGAUCAGGGCUCAACCCUGAAGAUGCGGUGGAAACUGGCAGGCUAGAAUACGGUAGGGGCAGGGGGAAUUCCCGGUGUAGCGGUGAAAUGCAUAGAUAUCGGGAAGAACACCAAAGGCGAAGGCACCCUGCUGGGCCGAUAUUGACACUGACAGACGAAAGCUAGGGGAGCGA